RNAcentral lists this unclassified non-coding RNA (252 nucleotides) under fungal sp. Its description in RNAcentral is "partial internal transcribed spacer region". The stretch from base 1 to 46 matches the Rfam family "Eukaryotic small subunit ribosomal RNA", at positions 1786 to 1831 of the family's 1831-position model. The record is from RNAcentral. Lineage: Eukaryota; Fungi.
AAGUCGUAACAAGGUAACCGUAGGUGAACCUGCGGUUGGAUCAUUAUUGAUACAACGGUCUCGGAGUCCUCCUCGGAGUUGAUUCCUCGACCUUACCCACCCCAUGUGCACUGUAAAUGUUUUUUGGGACUACUCCUCUGUUUGCCUAGUGCUUACCUAGUAGUGGUCCCAGCAGUAUAUAAACUCUAUUUAAUUUGUCUGAAAUGAAACCAAGAAUCGUAACAACUUUUGACAACGGAUCUCUUGGCUCUC